UGAUUAUUAUGUUGGCUUUAAAUAUUUUAUUACUUUUAUUGAUGAUUGGUCUCGUGCUACUUGAGUAUAUUUAU
RNAcentral lists this transfer RNA (74 nucleotides) under Amborella trichopoda. Its description in RNAcentral is "tRNA AMTR_s00040t00278400". Lineage: Eukaryota; Viridiplantae; Streptophyta; Magnoliopsida; Amborellales; Amborellaceae. The record is from RNAcentral.